CAUAGUUGGCAACGACAGGUACUGAGGGAGGGCAUGGAAGGAGGGGAAGCGGCAUCAAACUUGCUGUUGGUGUAGAAGAACUAUCCAAGCUUCCACCAAAGUUAGGAAUAGAAAGGUGAGGAAUACCGUGUGAAAAACCUUGCAAAGAGAGGUUUUUUGCGGGGGAUGUUAUGAGACCCGGUGAAGAGAGCGCUAGGACUUGAGUCCUUGCUCUCUUGAGUGGUGUUGUUGAUGAUAAAGCGACUCUACCUCUCUUUCUAGCCCUAGUAGGCCUAGCCUGCAGAUGACACCACAGACUCCUGAGAUAAGGAGAUUGCAUCAUCUUUUGAGACAUACCUGAGCUCUCCUCAUUCAUGGAGUUUGCAGGUACAUCAGGUUUCGGAGCUAUUGGCCUAUACCUUGACAUGAUUUCAGCUGUUGUAGCUGUGGUGGAGUAAGGACUCAACGUCUUAAUCAUGGUGCCUUCUUCCUUUCAGAUUUCACACGCAA
Molecule: long non-coding RNA, 489 nt
Filed under: Gossypium barbadense (sea-island cotton)
Lineage: Eukaryota; Viridiplantae; Streptophyta; Magnoliopsida; Malvales; Malvaceae
Description: long non-coding RNA (GBAR_LNC003900)
Source: RNAcentral